This 73-nucleotide transfer RNA is filed under the name Simkaniaceae bacterium. Its description in RNAcentral is "tRNA-His". It matches the Rfam family "tRNA". From Rfam's summary of the family: Transfer RNA (tRNA) molecules are approximately 80 nucleotides in length. Their secondary structure includes four short double-helical elements and three loops (D, anti-codon, and T loops). Further hydrogen bonds mediate the characteristic L-shaped molecular structure. tRNAs have two regions of fundamental functional importance: the anti-codon, which is responsible for specific mRNA codon recognition, and the 3' end, to which the tRNAs corresponding amino acid is attached (by aminoacyl-tRNA synthetases). tRNAs cope with the degeneracy of the genetic code in two manners: having more than one tRNA (with a specific anti-codon) for a particular amino acid; and 'wobble' base-pairing, i.e. permitting non-standard base-pairing at the 3rd anti-codon position. Lineage: Bacteria; Pseudomonadati; Chlamydiota; Chlamydiia; Parachlamydiales; Simkaniaceae. The record is from RNAcentral.
GCGAGAGUAGCUCAGGGGUUAGAGCACUGGAUUGUGAUUCCAGGGGUCGCGGGUUCAAUUCCCGUCUUUCGCC